Molecule: ribosomal RNA, 798 nt
Filed under: uncultured bacterium
Lineage: Bacteria
Description: bacterial SSU rRNA
Rfam family: Bacterial small subunit ribosomal RNA
Source: RNAcentral
AAUUAUUGGGCGUAAAGAGCUCGUAGGCGGUUUGUCGCGUCUGCUGUGAAAACGUGAGGCUUAACCUUGCGCCUGCAGUGGGUACGGGCAGACUAGAGUGCGGUAGGGGAGACUGGAAUUCCUGGUGUAGCGGUGGAAUGCGCAGAUAUCAGGAGGAACACCGAUGGCGAAAGCAGGUCUCUGGGCCGUUACUGACGCUGAGGAGCGAAAGCAUGGGGAGCGAACAGGAUUAGAUACCCUGGUAGUCCAUGCCGUAAACGUUGGGCACUAAGUGUGGGGUCCAUUCCACGGGUUCCGCGCCGCAGCUAACGCAUUAAGUGCCCUGCCUGGGGAGUACCGGCGCAAGUCUAAAACUCAAAGGAAUUGACGGGGGCCCGCACAAGCGGCGGAGCAUGCGGAUUAAUUCGAUGCAACGCGAAGAACCUUACCAAGGCUUGACAUACACCGGAAGCGUGCAGAGAUGUGCGUGCCUUAUGGCUGGUGUACAGGUGGUGCAUGGUUGUCGUCAGCUCGUGUCGUGAGAUGUUGGGUUAAGUCCCGCGACGAGCGCAACCCUUACUUAGCUAGCGAGACAGGUAAGCCCGGGGACUAAUAAGAAGACUGCCGGGGUCAACUCGGAGGAAGGUGGGGAUGACGUCAAAUCAUCAUGCCCCUUAUGUCUUGGGCUUCACGCAUGCUACAAUGGCCGGUACAAUGGGUUGCGAUACUGUGAGGUGGAGCGGAUCCCAAAAAGCCGGUCUCAGUUCGGAUUGGGGUCUGCAACUCGACCCCAUGAAGUCGGAGUCGCUAGUAAUCGCA